RNAcentral lists this ribosomal RNA (1471 nucleotides) under metagenome. RNAcentral's name for it is "bacterial SSU rRNA". It matches the Rfam family "Bacterial small subunit ribosomal RNA". The record is from RNAcentral.
AGGGUUUGAUCCUGGCUCAGAACGAACGCUGGCGGCGUGGUUAAAGCAUGCAAGUCGAACGGAAAGGCACUGACGGAUCCUUCGGGUGAAGUCAGUGUACUCGAGUGGCGAACGGGCGAGUAACGCAUGGGAACGUGCCCUAGGCUCGAGGAUAGCUGCGGGAAACUGCAGGUAAUACUCGAUAAUACCUUCGGGUCAAAGAUUUAUCGGCCUUGGAUCGGCCCAUGUCCUAUCAGCUUGUUGGUGAGGUAACGGCUCACCAAGGCAGCGACGGGUACCGGGACUGAGAGGUUGAACCGGCGCAUUGGGACUGAGACACAGCCCAGACUCCUACGGGAGGCUGCAGCAACGAAUAUUCCGCAACGGGCGAAAGCCUGACGGAGCGACGCCGCGUGUGGGAUGAAGUCCUUCGGGAUGUAAACCACUGUCAGGGGUUACCAAUUACUGAGGAGCCCCAGAGGAAGCCACGGCUAACUUCGUGCCAGCAGCCGCGGUAAGACGAAGGUGGCUAGCGUUGUUCGGAAUCAUUGGGCUUAAAGGGCGCGUAGGCGGCCCGUCAAGUGUCUUGUGAAAUCCCUCGGCUCAACCGAGGAAUGGCAGGGCAUACUGUCGGGCUUGAGGCAGGUAGGGGCGAGUGGAACUCUUGGUGGAGCGGUGGAAUGCGUAGAUAUCAAGAGGAACGCCGAUGGUGAAGACAACUCGCUGGGCCUGUCCUGACGCUGAGGCGCGAAAGCCAGGGGAGCGAACGGGAUUAGAUACCCCGGUAGUCCUGGCCCUAAACGAUGCCUACUAGGUCGGAGGCACUCUGACGUGGUUCCGGCCGGAAUGAAAACAUUAAGUAGGCCGCCUGGGGAGUACGGUCGCAAGGCUAAAACUCAAAGGAAUUGACGGGGGCUCACACAAGCGGUGGAGCAUGUUGCUUAAUUCGAUGCAACGCGAAGAACCUUAUCCUGGGCUUGACAUGUUUGGAUGCCUACCUGGAAACAGGAUCGGCUGCCCUUCGGGGUGAAACAUACACAGGUGCUGCAUGGCUGUCGUCAGCUCGUGUCGUGAGAUGUCGGGUUAAGUCCCAUAACGAGCGAAACCCCUGUCGCUAGUUGCCAGCGGUUCGGCCGGGGACUCUAGCGAGACUGCCGGUGUUAAACCGGAGGAAGGUGGGGAUGACGUCAAGUCCUCAUGGCCUUUAUGCCCAGGGCUGCAAACGUGCUACAAUGGUAGGUACAAACCGACGCAAGACGGUAACGUCGAGCAAAUCGGAAAAAGCCUGCCCCAGUUCGGAUUGAGGUCUGCAACUCGACCUCAUGAAGUUGGAAUCGCUAGUAAUCGCAGAUCAGCUACGCUGCGGUGAAUGUGUUCCUGAGCCUUGUACACACCGCCCGUCAAGUCAUGGAAGCUGGGAGCACCCGAAGUCGCCCCGCCUCAGGGGUGCCGAAGGUGAGCUUGGUAACUAGGACUAAGUCGUAACAAGGUA